GCAUAGCGUACUGGCUCAGUAACACGUGGACAACCUGCCCNNNGGACNNNNAUAAUCCCGGGAAACUGGGGGUAAUUCCAGAUANNNCAGAAACACCUGGAANNNNUUCUGGCAGAAAUGCUCCGGCNNNUCAGGAUGGGUCUGCGGCCUAUCAGGGUAGUAGUGGGUGUAACGUACCUACUAGCCUACGACGGGUACGGGUUGUGAGAGCAAGAGCCCGGAGAUGGAUUCUGAGACAUGAAUCCAGGCCCUACGGGGUGCAGCAGGCGCGAAAACUUUACAAUGCGGGCAACCGCGAUAAGGGGACCUCGAGUGCUGGGUUACAAACCUGGCUGUUGGGCUGCCUAAAAAGCAGUCUAUAGCAAGGGCCGGGCAAGACCGGUGCCAGCCGCCGCGGUAACACCGGCGGCUCGAGUGGUAACCGCUGUUAUUGGGUCUAAAGGGUCUGUAGCCUGCCGGCUAAGUCUCUUGGGAAAUCUGGCAUCUCAAGUGUCAGGCUGCCAGGGGAUACUGGCCGGCUUGGGACCGGGAGAGGUGAGAGGUACCUCAGGGGUAGGGGUGAAAUCUUGUAAUCCUUGAGGGACCACCAGUGGCGAAGGCGUCUCACCAGAAC
RNAcentral lists this ribosomal RNA (613 nucleotides) under uncultured euryarchaeote. Its description in RNAcentral is "partial 16S ribosomal RNA". It matches the Rfam family "Archaeal small subunit ribosomal RNA", at positions 76 to 686 of the family's 1478-position model. The record is from RNAcentral. Lineage: Archaea; Methanobacteriati; Methanobacteriota.